UCAAUAAGCGGAGGAAAAGAAACCAACAGGGAUUGCCCCCAGUAACGGCGAGUGAAGCGGCAACAGCUCAAAUUUGAAAUCUGGCCCCAGGCCCGAGUUGUAAUUUGCAGAGGAUGCUUUUGGCGCGGUGCCUUCCGAGUUCCCUGGAACGGGACGCCAUAGAGGGUGAGAGCCCCGUACGGUUGGACACCAAGCCUUUGUAAAGCUCCUUCGACGAGUCGAGUAGUUUGGGAAUGCUGCUCAAAAUGGGAGGUAUAUUUCUUCUAAAGCUAAAUAUUGGCCAGAGACCGAUAGCGCACAAGUAGAGUGAUCGAAAGAUGAAAAGCACUUUGAAAAGAGGGUUAAACAGCACGUGAAAUUGUUGAAAGGGAAGCGCUUGUGACCAGACUUGCGCCCGGUGAAUCACCCAGCUCUCGCGGCUGGGGCACUUUGCCGGCACAGGCCAGCAUCAGCUUGCCGUCGGGGACAAAAGCUUCGGGAACGUAGCUCUCUUCGGGGAGUGUUAUAGCCCGUUGCAUAAUACCCUUCGGCGGGCUGAGGUACGCGCUCCGCAAGGAUGCUGGCGUAAUGGUCAUCAGCGACCCGUCUUGAAACACGGACCAAGGAGUCAACCUUAUGUGCGAGUGUUUGGGUGUUAAACCCCUACGCGUAAUGAAAGUGAACGCAGGUGAGAGCUUCGGCGCAUCAUCGACCGAUCCUGAUGUUCUCGGAUGGAUUUGAGUAAGAGCAUAUAGGGUUGGACCCGAAAGAAGGUGAACUAUGCGUGUAUAGGGUGAAGCCAGAGGAAACUCUGGUGGAGGCUCGCAGCGGUUCUGACGUGCAAAUCGAUCGUCAAAUAUGCGCAUGGGGGCGAAAGACUAAUCGAACCUUCUAGUAGCUGGUU
This 883-nucleotide ribosomal RNA is filed under the name Colletotrichum coccodes. Its description in RNAcentral is "LSU rRNA". It matches the Rfam family "Eukaryotic large subunit ribosomal RNA", at positions 43 to 956 of the family's 3401-position model. The record is from RNAcentral. Lineage: Eukaryota; Fungi; Ascomycota; Sordariomycetes; Glomerellales; Glomerellaceae.